UGAAUAUACAUGGUCAUCUUGUAUGAAAGAUUAUUUUAAAUUACAUGAUGCAUGUGUUAGGAAACAAUUAACUUGCAUAACAUGCCAUGAUUAGUAGAGCUGGGAACUUGUAUAUUACUUUUAUGUAAUGUUUCCUUUUUCAUAAAAUAACUCUUAACCCACUUACAAAGAGGUUAGAAAUGGCCUAAAUUAAAAUUAACCCAAGGAUGUAGGCCAAACCCAGGACAAAGCAUUUUAUUGCAUGCCACUCAUCCCAGCGCCACAUCCAGACACAGUAUAGCACAGGAAAGUACUGUGCUGGCCCAUGAUUGGAAUAGGCAUGGCACAGGUUACCUAGAUCCAUUGUAUGUUGUGUAACUGCAAAACAACCAAGAAUACCAAAUAAACUAAUAUAAACUCAUUGCCAGUCCUUUUUAUGAGGAAAUGAAACUUCCAUCUAGAUAGUUACACUGUAGACAAAAUAGAGAAAGAGCCAGGAAUUCUUAUCAAAAACUAAAAUGCACCCUAGAACUUAAUUAUUUAUCAGUAACAACAUAAUCAAACUAGAUUUAAAGCAAAAUGUUUAGAAGUCAAAUAAGUUGAUGCUCGAUACAGAACAACAAACAACAAAGUAAUAAUAAAUCACAACCGGUCAUACUGUAUCACAAGAAAAGGUAUUAAUAUCAUUAUGCCCACAAUAAUGUAGAGCAUAGACACAUGGUACGGCAUCUCAGUUAUGUUAUGAUGCCACCAGCGGGCAUAUCAUAAGUCCAUGAUCUGUACCAUACCAUACUAGUAAGGCACCACCAUGGUUACCGGCACCACCAUGGUUACCAGCACCAAUCCUUUACACUUUGCACUACACUAUGUGCCACUAAUUCUAAGACCAUCAUCAAACUACAAAGAAAGGAGCAUCACUAGCAAUUAAAGAUGUCUACAAAGUAGACUUUUCUCAAUAAAAGGUAUGAAUAUAAUUAACACUUUGGUCAAACCAUUGAUAUAUCUUAAUCAACUGAAGAAUAUGGAAAAUAAAAAUAGCAGCUCAAGCAGUAAACGACAUGAGAAAACAAUCUGAUUACGCUUUGAGGCUUAGACUUACAACUAAAAUGGAAACUGAAUUACUGAGUAAUUCUUCGCAAAAUCCAUUAUGAGGCUAAGGUAUGAUAUACCAAGACUAAGAAAAGAAAUUGAAGAAGAGCGGAAAAAAAGAACAAGGAAGGAAAGAAGAGUUGGAAAUGUAAAAUUUACCAUAAUCAGAAAUUACAUUAAAUAUCCAUAGUCUGACACUUUUGACUCAUCAAAAGCUUAUAUGGACCUCUACAAACUCAAGACCCUGAAGACUUUUGAUCAAGAUGGUAGAUUUCUCCAGAGGACUCAUACAACGGAUAAAUUAUAAAAUUCUAUAAACACCAACAAACAUAAUACAUAAACCUGGAAACAAUCUGCUACUUAAUUAUACCUAGAACCUUCCAUCUCCAAAAUUCAAAUUUAACAGAAGUCUCUGAAAUACCUCUGGCAAAGAGCCAACAAAACAUACCAUUAAAAGGUAAUUGACACAUUGUAGAUUUAACAGAAACCUCUUUUAGUCCCUUGGAUCCAUCCUACAUCAAGUUCAACUCUUCAAAAGUAUUGUCCUAAAGUUCAAAGAAGACUUCUCCAGCUAUUAAGAUUUACUUUCUGUUUGGCAGGGAUAUAUAUCAUGGUUUAUCUCAAUAUAUUCAAAAAGAAAACUCAUCAAUUUCAGAUUUUACACAAUAAUAAUGUUUCAAUUAUCCUUAAGAAUCAUCACCUUGAGGAUCUUUAUGGAUUAUUAGGAUUAAAGGAAGGAUUUAUCUCAUUAUUAGAUAAAAGUCAACGUCUUACAACACCAUUUUGCCACGCAAUUUUCCAGAGUUUGCAAUCAUCAUGCAAGGGAACAUGGAAAGAAAAUGUGAAAACAUGCCUGAAGGCACUUGUUCAGCAAUUUGAUAAGGGAAAAAAAUUCGAUGACAUUUUACAAGCAACAUUCUAAAACAAUCCUAGGUUUCAUGAAUUCCAACCAAAAACUAAUUGUACCAGUGAUUUGACCAAAAGUUAAAACUACGCUUUCAGCUUCAGUUGUUUCUGAUUUAUAUCAUAUGCACUUAACUUUCCGAACCUUAUUGAAAAUUUUAAAUCAUAUGACAGAUAUGGCCAACUAUUAAUGCAACAAAAGAAGCAAAUGAUAAAAGACAAGAAAGGAUUUUUGAUAACAGAGGUGCAGGAGGGAAUAACGAUAUGAUCUAGCAAGUAGAACAACAAGCAUUGCAUAGAAUUGAAUAUAGAUCCAUGACAGAAAAAUAUAUGUAAUCUUACUUUACUAAAAUAGGGAAAGAACCGUGACACGCAAUAAGCUAAAAAAACUGCAGUAUAAUCUAGAAAAAUCAAUGAAGUUGUCUGUCCACCUAACAAGGCAAUAAAAUCAUAAUCUAAAAGAUCGAAGAGAAUUGCAUGACUAUUAAAGUCUUCACAAUUUACGCUGCUGCAACUUCUCACUACCAUUUCAUACUUUUAAGUUUGUUCAUACUUAAAAGUACUUUUUACAUGUUUCCACUGAAAUGAAAGCAGAACCCACAUCACAUUUCUUAUCAGUAUGUUACCUUUCUACAAAUAUUUUACAUUCUUUGUUUUUGUUUUUUAAGAAAGGAGGUCAUUAGUCCACCUGUUUCUAGGUAAAUUUUGUAGCUUCUUUUACAAAGUUCAAAGAGAAUAUUGACAUAUCAGUAUGUAUACUCAAUAAGAUCAUAAUCCACAUGCAUAAAUUACCAAAAGUACCAAGAGGGAACGCCAUAGAUCAGAAAAUGCAGGUCCAUGAUGCUCAAGCAACAAAACAAUAGAUGAUAAUGAAGCAUUCAAGCCACAAUUGUGAUAGACUAAUCAAAACCAUACACAUUGAGAGUGUUAUGAGAGGAUAACAAGAAGUGGGACUCCCCUCAAAUGUUUCGAACUUCAAAACGAUUACAACAUAAAAAAGACAAGUAUCCCUCUCAAAAGAACAUGUAACAGAAACCAGCUAAUCUUUCGAGCUAAAACACA
This 3033-nucleotide long non-coding RNA is filed under the name Phoenix dactylifera (date palm). Its description in RNAcentral is "long non-coding RNA (PDAC_LNC009181)". Lineage: Eukaryota; Viridiplantae; Streptophyta; Magnoliopsida; Arecales; Arecaceae. The record is from RNAcentral.